Molecule: ribosomal RNA, 252 nt
Filed under: uncultured Bacteroidales bacterium
Lineage: Bacteria; Pseudomonadati; Bacteroidota; Bacteroidia; Bacteroidales
Description: partial 16S ribosomal RNA
Rfam family: Bacterial small subunit ribosomal RNA
Source: RNAcentral
UACGGAGGAUGCGAGCGUUAUCCGGCUUUAUUGGGUUUAAAGGGUGCGUAGGCGGACGCUUAAGUCAGCGGUAAAAUUGCGGGGCUCAACCUCGUCGAGCCGUUGAAACUGGGUGCCUUGAGUGCGCGGAAGGCAGGCGGAAUUCGUGGUGUAGCGGUGAAAUGCUUAGAUAUCACGAAGAACCCCGAUUGCGAAGGCAGCCUGCCGCAGCGUUACUGACGCUGAAGCACGAAAGCGUGGGUAUCGAACAGG